This 400-nucleotide long non-coding RNA is filed under the name Ananas comosus (pineapple). RNAcentral's name for it is "long non-coding RNA (ACOM_LNC027157)". The record is from RNAcentral. Lineage: Eukaryota; Viridiplantae; Streptophyta; Magnoliopsida; Poales; Bromeliaceae.
UUAACAUAACAUUUUAGAAAAAAGUUCAAAUAACACCCUUAUGAUUUUAUACUUUUUUAUUUUAGUACUCUGUAGUUUAAAGUAUAUCAAUUUAGUAUUUUAUAACUUUAUUUUUUUCUCUUUAUUAUCUCCUCUACUAUUUUUUUUUAAAUCAGUGACAAAGUUAAAACUAAAAGGUAUUAAAGUGAAUAUUCAGUAAAUCUAUGUGGGGUAUCGNAAAUAAUAAAAAUAUAUAUUAUAUAUAAUUAUUUAUUUAUAUAUAAAAAUAUAAAUUAAAUAAAUUAUAUAAAUAUAAAAUAUGUAUUCGAGCUAUUAUCGAGCCGAACACCAGCGAGCUGACCCCAGCUCGUGUUCGGCUCAUUUAUUAAACGAGCUGAAAAAUCCAUCUCGUGUUCGGCUC